GAAAGACAAAAGCCAAAGGGUAAGCGAGGUCGACCAAAAGGUUCAAAGAUAAAGAAACCAAUUGCUGCUUCUAAUGAACAGAGCCAACUACUGCUUCAAAUUGAAAUGAACGCAGAUGAAUUAACAGGUAACUCUGGCAACACUUGCAAAAGGCGUCGAGGAAGGCCAAGGAAGUACAGCAAACCAGAAAAUUCAGAAUCAUUUGACAUUACUGAGAGGAAAAAGGUACAGAGGAGUUUGAUGUGCCACCAGUGUUGGAGAAGCCAAAAUAAUGGUGUUGUUAUUUGUUCCAACUGCAGAAGAAAACGCUAUUGCUAUGACUGCCUUGCAAAGUGGUACCCAGAGAAAACACGGG
Molecule: unclassified non-coding RNA, 355 nt
Filed under: Hevea brasiliensis (rubber tree)
Lineage: Eukaryota; Viridiplantae; Streptophyta; Magnoliopsida; Malpighiales; Euphorbiaceae
Source: RNAcentral